UCUACCAACCCAAAACUCAGCCAUGGCUCGAACAUGGUUCACUUCAUCGUUAAUUCGUGUCACUAGUCUGCUUAUCGUGUCCAAAUCACGGCUUAAAAUGUAAGUACCUUUGGCAGCAACGUCGAGCCGAGCCGCUGUUUUUGUUAACUUAUUCCUUAAACCGGCUGGUUUAAAUUGAGAGGCUAAAAGAGUCGGAGCGGCUAGAAACAAAGCAAAAGCGUGAGAGGCUAUGGUUACAAUCAAUGUAGUGGUUAGAGCCAAAACGAGAAGCCCUGAGCUAUGAGUUAGUCCGUUGAUAAGCUUAAGUUUGGCUCGUGUCUUGUCUCGUCUCGACUCUAGCCGUUUUAGCAAGUAUAAACAGCCGGAUCUGAUUAGCUGGAUCCUAGAACCCGACGAGAUAAACGGGUCGAACCAUUUUGAUAUCUCCGUGAAUUGGUCUAUUAAAGCC
This 448-nucleotide small RNA is filed under the name Arabidopsis thaliana (thale cress). Its description in RNAcentral is "ATSL178200". The record is from RNAcentral. Lineage: Eukaryota; Viridiplantae; Streptophyta; Magnoliopsida; Brassicales; Brassicaceae.